GGAGAAAUGGCUCAGCGGUUAAGAGCGCCUACUGCUCUUGCAGGGGUCCUGAGUUCAAUUCCCAGUUUCCACA
This 73-nucleotide transfer RNA is filed under the name Rattus norvegicus (Norway rat). It matches the Rfam family "tRNA". From Rfam's summary of the family: Transfer RNA (tRNA) molecules are approximately 80 nucleotides in length. Their secondary structure includes four short double-helical elements and three loops (D, anti-codon, and T loops). Further hydrogen bonds mediate the characteristic L-shaped molecular structure. tRNAs have two regions of fundamental functional importance: the anti-codon, which is responsible for specific mRNA codon recognition, and the 3' end, to which the tRNAs corresponding amino acid is attached (by aminoacyl-tRNA synthetases). tRNAs cope with the degeneracy of the genetic code in two manners: having more than one tRNA (with a specific anti-codon) for a particular amino acid; and 'wobble' base-pairing, i.e. permitting non-standard base-pairing at the 3rd anti-codon position. The record is from Rfam by way of RNAcentral. Lineage: Eukaryota; Metazoa; Chordata; Mammalia; Rodentia; Muridae.